RNAcentral lists this ribosomal RNA (497 nucleotides) under uncultured bacterium. RNAcentral describes it as "partial 16S ribosomal RNA". It matches the Rfam family "Bacterial small subunit ribosomal RNA", at positions 28 to 507 of the family's 1533-position model. The record is from RNAcentral.
GAUGAACGCUGGCGGCGUGCCUAAUACAUGCAAGUCGAGCGAACAGACGAGGAGCUUGCUCCUCUGACGUUAGCGGCGGACGGGUGAGUAACACGUGGAUAACCUACCUAUAUGACUGGGAUAACUUCUGGAAACCGGUGCUAAUACCGGAUAAUAUAUUCAACCGCAUGGUUCAAUAGUGAAUGACGGUUUUGCUGUCACUUUUAGAUGUUUCCGCGCCGCAUUAGAUAGUUGGUAAGGUAACGGCUUACCAAGGCAACGAUGCGUAGCCGACCUGAGAGGGUGAUCGGCCACACUGGAACUGAGACACGGUCCAGACUCCUACGGGAGGCAGCAGUAGGGAAUCUUCGGCAAUGGGCGAAAGCCUGACGGAGCAACGCCGCGUGAGUGAUGAAGGUCUUCGGAUCGUAAAACUCUGUUAUUAGGGAAGAACAAAUGUGUAAGUAACUAUGCACGUCUUGACGGUACCUAAUCAGAAAGCAACGGCUAACUACGUG